GAUCAGGAAAAGACGGGGGGCGGUCACAGCUGGCCCUAAUUCUCACGCACCCAACACCGGGAAUUUACCGAUUCCUUCGGCGUUUCCCCCUCCUAUCUGCUAUUUAAAGCCCCUCUGCCUCUCCCUCUUUCUCCUCACCCACCUCUCGGCGCCGCUUCCUUUGCGUUUCUCUUGUCUCUGUCCUGCCCUCCUCCGUGUUGCUCUUUCACCACACAUCUUAGAGGCGAAUCUUUUGCGAAGAACAGAUCGCCGGCGAGCCGCAGACCCUUCUCGCCUCUAGAUCAAGUGUGGAUGAAUUAAUGGAGUCUAAGGGUGGGAAGAAGAAGUCUAGCAGUAGUAGUAGUUCAUUACA
This is a long non-coding RNA of Musa acuminata AAA Group (dessert banana), 352 nucleotides long. RefSeq lists it as uncharacterized. The transcript is spliced from 2 exons. NCBI's taxonomy places the organism in Eukaryota, Viridiplantae, Streptophyta, Magnoliopsida, Zingiberales, Musaceae. The record is from RefSeq and is a predicted model, not a curated record.